Molecule: ribosomal RNA, 2792 nt
Filed under: Klebsiella quasipneumoniae
Lineage: Bacteria; Pseudomonadati; Pseudomonadota; Gammaproteobacteria; Enterobacterales; Enterobacteriaceae
Description: 23S ribosomal RNA
Rfam family: Bacterial large subunit ribosomal RNA
Source: RNAcentral
UUAAGCGACUAAGCGUACACGGUGGAUGCCCUGGCAGUCAGAGGCGAUGAAGGACGUGCUAAUCUGCGAAAAGCGUCGGUAAGGUGAUAUGAACCGUUAUAACCGGCGAUGUCCGAAUGGGGAAACCCAGUGUGAUUCGUCACACUAUCGUUAACUGAAUACAUAGGUUAACGAGGCGAACCGGGGGAACUGAAACAUCUAAGUACCCCGAGGAAAAGAAAUCAACCGAGAUUCCCCCAGUAGCGGCGAGCGAACGGGGAGCAGCCCAGAGUCUGAAUCAGCUUGUGUGUUAGUGGAAUGGUCUGGAAAGUCCGACGGUACAGGGUGAUAGUCCCGUACACCAAAAUGCACAGGCUGUGAACUCGAAGAGUAGGGCGGGACACGUGGUAUCCUGUCUGAAUAUGGGGGGACCAUCCUCCAAGGCUAAAUACUCCUGACUGACCGAUAGUGAACCAGUACCGUGAGGGAAAGGCGAAAAGAACCCCGGCGAGGGGAGUGAAAAAGAACCUGAAACCGUGUACGUACAAGCAGUGGGAGCACCUUCGGGUGUGACUGCGUACCUUUUGUAUAAUGGGUCAGCGACUUAUAUUCUGUAGCAAGGUUAACCGUAUAGGGGAGCCGCAGGGAAACCGAGUCUUAACUGGGCGUUAAGUUGCAGGGUAUAGACCCGAAACCCGGUGAUCUAGCCAUGGGCAGGUUGAAGGUUGGGUAACACUAACUGGAGGACCGAACCGACUAAUGUUGAAAAAUUAGCGGAUGACUUGUGGCUGGGGGUGAAAGGCCAAUCAAACCGGGAGAUAGCUGGUUCUCCCCGAAAGCUAUUUAGGUAGCGCCUCGUAAACUCAUCUUCGGGGGUAGAGCACUGUUUCGGCUAGGGGGUCAUCCCGACUUACCAACCCGAUGCAAACUACGAAUACCGAAGAAUGUUAUCACGGGAGACACACGGCGGGUGCUAACGUCCGUCGUGAAGAGGGAAACAACCCAGACCGCCAGCUAAGGUCCCAAAGUCAUGGUUAAGUGGGAAACGAUGUGGGAAGGCACAGACAGCCAGGAUGUUGGCUUAGAAGCAGCCAUCAUUUAAAGAAAGCGUAAUAGCUCACUGGUCGAGUCGGCCUGCGCGGAAGAUGUAACGGGGCUAAACCAUGCACCGAAGCUGCGGCAGCGACACUAUGUGUUGUUGGGUAGGGGAGCGUUCUGUAAGCCUGCGAAGGUGACCUGUGAGGGUUGCUGGAGGUAUCAGAAGUGCGAAUGCUGACAUAAGUAACGAUAAAGCGGGUGAAAAGCCCGCUCGCCGGAAGACCAAGGGUUCCUGUCCAACGUUAAUCGGGGCAGGGUGAGUCGACCCCUAAGGCGAGGCCGAAAGGCGUAGUCGAUGGGAAACAGGUUAAUAUUCCUGUACUUGGUGUUACUGCGAAGGGGGGACGGAGAAGGCUAUGUUAGCCGGGCGACGGUUGUCCCGGUUUAAGCAUGUAGGCUGAUUAUCCAGGCAAAUCCGGAUAAUCAAGGCUGAGGUGUGAUGACGAGGUACUACGGUACUGAAGUAACAAAUGCCCUGCUUCCAGGAAAAGCCUCUAAGCAUCAGGUAACAUCAAAUCGUACCCCAAACCGACACAGGUGGUCAGGUAGAGAAUACCAAGGCGCUUGAGAGAACUCGGGUGAAGGAACUAGGCAAAAUGGUGCCGUAACUUCGGGAGAAGGCACGCUGGUGUGUAGGUGAAGUCCCUGCGGAUGGAGCUGAGACCAGUCGAAGAUACCAGCUGGCUGCAACUGUUUAUUAAAAACACAGCACUGUGCAAACACGAAAGUGGACGUAUACGGUGUGACGCCUGCCCGGUGCCGGAAGGUUAAUUGAUGGGGUUAUCCGUAAGGAGAAGCUCUUGAUCGAAGCCCCGGUAAACGGCGGCCGUAACUAUAACGGUCCUAAGGUAGCGAAAUUCCUUGUCGGGUAAGUUCCGACCUGCACGAAUGGCGUAAUGAUGGCCAGGCUGUCUCCACCCGAGACUCAGUGAAAUUGAACUCGCUGUGAAGAUGCAGUGUACCCGCGGCAAGACGGAAAGACCCCGUGAACCUUUACUAUAGCUUGACACUGAACAUUGAGCCUUGAUGUGUAGGAUAGGUGGGAGGCUUUGAAGCGUGGACGCCAGUCUGCGUGGAGCCAACCUUGAAAUACCACCCUUUAAUGUUUGAUGUUCUAACGUGGGCCCCUUAUCGGGGUUGCGGACAGUGUCUGGUGGGUAGUUUGACUGGGGCGGUCUCCUCCCAAAGCGUAACGGAGGAGCACGAAGGUUAGCUAAUCCUGGUCGGACAUCAGGAGGUUAGUGCAAUGGCAUAAGCUAGCUUGACUGCGAGCGUGACGGCGCGAGCAGGUGCGAAAGCAGGUCAUAGUGAUCCGGUGGUUCUGAAUGGAAGGGCCAUCGCUCAACGGAUAAAAGGUACUCCGGGGAUAACAGGCUGAUACCGCCCAAGAGUUCAUAUCGACGGCGGUGUUUGGCACCUCGAUGUCGGCUCAUCACAUCCUGGGGCUGAAGUAGGUCCCAAGGGUAUGGCUGUUCGCCAUUUAAAGUGGUACGCGAGCUGGGUUUAGAACGUCGUGAGACAGUUCGGUCCCUAUCUGCCGUGGGCGCUGGAGAAUUGAGGGGGGCUGCUCCUAGUACGAGAGGACCGGAGUGGACGCAUCACUGGUGUUCGGGUUGUCAUGCCAAUGGCACUGCCCGGUAGCUAAAUGCGGAAGAGAUAAGUGCUGAAAGCAUCUAAGCACGAAACUUGCCCCGAGAUGAGUUCUCCCUGAGACU